RNA transcript from Panicum virgatum (switchgrass), 3035 nucleotides. RefSeq lists it as uncharacterized. The transcript has 5 exons. Lineage: Eukaryota; Viridiplantae; Streptophyta; Magnoliopsida; Poales; Poaceae. The record is from RefSeq and is a predicted model, not a curated record.
CUCAAUCCCGUGCGUCCACGUCUAGCUCCCUGCACCCCGCUCGCACGCGAACCCGCCUCUGCCCCCGCCGCCGCCGCCAGAGCGCAAAACGCAGGCGCCGUCCCACCACCACCUUCUCUCCUCCUCGCCUAAUCCGCCCGCUCCGCCGCUCGCCGCUCGCCGCACCCCAAUGUCGGACGCUUGGCCGCACUCCAAGGUCGAGGCCAUCCGCUAUCUCCUCCCACUCAGGCACUCACGCUUGCCCCGCCGCCGCUCUGGCCUCCCGUCGCAUUCGCCACUACGGAGGAUGCAUUCGCCACUACUGAGGAUGCAGUCGCCUCCAGCCUCCACGGCCCUCCCUCUUCGGCAUCGACUCCGCGCCCAUACGCCGCUGUCGAGGUCACGGCCACCUCCACCCUCCACAGCCCGGGCCCUGAUCCCCUUCGAUCCCUGCCCCAGGCAGACGCCGGCCCGAUUGCCAUUGCUCGCCGGCCGCCUUGGCCAGAUCUGGGGCGCCGGAUCUCGCCGCCCCCGCGCUUAGCGGUUCCGGCGCCAGACGCCAACUUGGUGCCCCAGAAGCGGUCCCAGCACGGUGGCGGUGGCGGAGGUGGGUCGUCUAACGUCGUGGGGGACUCCGAGGAUGCGGUCAUGGUGCAGUGGCUGCAGUUCAUGGGGCUGCAGCACCUCACAGCGUCCUCGGCCGCGGGCGGGAUCGGGGCAGGGGGGCCUCCGCGGCGGCGGCCUCGCACAUCCUCCUCGACGAGAACCUCACGCCCAUGCUCUCCGACUUCGGGCUCGCGCAUGGGCUCCUUAGGCUGCUGGGCGCUAGAGUACGACCGGAGCGGGCAGGCCACCGUAAAGUCUGAUAGUGUACAUCGACGGGGUGGUGCUCGUGCAGCUCAUCUCCGGGAGGAGGGCCGCCGACACCAGCAAGCCUUUGACCAAGCAGAACGUGGUCACCCGGUUUCCAACUUUCUUUUCCACCGAUAGAGAACAUUAGGAAGCCAGUACGCCACCAACCUAGUUCAAAUGGCUCAACAAACAAUUGAGCAAGCUUUGGCCCUUUGUCGAAAAGGCAGCAACCAUGGUCAUCAGGGAUUCUGUGGAACCACUACUCAAUGGAUAUCACCGCCGGGGAUAUCCUCACUGAAGUUCAGCAGACUCUCCCUUGGGACUAUUCCACCGAAAAUAGAAGGCAUUUGGAUUCGUAGUUUUAGGAAAGUGCAGAUUAAAUUGUAUGUGGACUUCCGGUUGGGUGGGGAUCCAAAUAUCAUUCCUGCAGUCAAAAUACCUGUUGCUUCACUUCCCAUUCAGGUUUGCAGACUGUCACGCAACCUAGCCAAAAGCAAUGCGAUCUUUAAUUUCUCGCAUCUUCUACAAUAAUAAGUGCUGAUUUUUUUCUUAAUGAAAGUAACUACACAUAAAAUAUUUUACUAUAUGGAUGAUAUUCAUAAUUCUAGCUUAAUCAGACAAAGUAAAAACAUGUAUCAUCCAAAUUUAUUUUGCUAGACUCCAGUAUAAUUAUAUUAUAAUUCUAGCUUAAGCUGCCCUUGAGUGACCUAGGGAUGGAGUGCAGGAGGUAAACUGUCAGCUGCUGUCGUCGCUGGGCAUGACCAUUUGUUUAUUGAGUUGGUUCAAGUGGGAAAAAUGCUCAAAGUGGCUUCAGUGGAAAAAUGGUGAAAGCAGCUUUUAGUGGAAAAAUGUUAAUUGGCGUUGAUGAAUUCCAGUUAGCACCUUUGCCUUUUGAUUAUGUGUUACCCCUUCAGUUUGUUACCUGUCUCGGUUGAUUUAUGUGUUAUAUUACUUGACAAGUUGGAUUUGGAUUAUUAAUAAUUAGUGAAUUCCUUAGAUCACUCUCUACUCUACUCUUGAGAAGCUACAGGUCAUAGGUCAUAGCAAUCGUCGGCUGCUGCUCCUCUAUUCAUGAGCUAGAUGGCAACUCGCUGCAGGUAAUUUACGUUUGCAGGGAAACAACCAUUUGCAUUGAAAAAUUAUGUAUUGGUAACCAAACAGAGGUAAUUACUGCAGUAUAUGUUUGUAGUCACAUGUAGGUAUGUAACUAAAUUUAGCUCUGUUCAUGUCGGUAUAUUCCAUGUUGGUAAUAAUGUAUAGUCAAAUUAUUUUGCUAAUAUAUUGUCAACUAGCUCUGUUCAUGUCUGAAUAUACCAUGUUGGUAACAAUGCAUAGUCAAAUUAUUUUGCUAAUGUAUUUUCAGUUGUUCGAACGAAACCUUUUCGCCUGAAUGCUUCCUUUCUGCUGCACAUACAAGUUUCCUUAUAUUCAUAUAUUAUUUUUGCUUUUUUACUCUGACAGACAAUUAUAAUCCAUCUUGAAAACAAUUAUUAACUAGCAGUUGCUGAAAGAAAUCCAGAUGUGUUGUUUUAACUUACGAUGUUUAUGCUUUGUCCUCACUAUUGUUAGUGGUAAUGCUACCAUCUAGCAAUGAAAAAUAUUUACUAACAGCUUUGCUCAGUAUUGUCCCCCUAUUUCUUAUAACAAUUCAGAGUAUGACAAAAUCUUUUCCUGUUCAUGGUAGCUAUAUGGAUAUUUGAAGAUAGUUAGCCUUUUGCCGGUUCUCAUAUGGUGGUAUUAUUUGGCCUUCAACUGAGAAAGGUGCCUUCAUACUUUGGGUAGCACGAGGAUGCAGACAAAAUGGGAUUGGGGAUUCAUGCAAAUAUGCUAGCUGUUUUAUACCCAUGUUAAUAUUGCCACUAUGAUAUAUUUCUAACAGCAGUUACUUGCUUUAGAUUGCCGGCUCAUUACUCACGUGUCAAGUAAUUGAUAUGGCAGAGCCGAUUUCCUUCAUGACGACCGUGGAGGCUGACUGCCCAGUGCCCACAAUAUCACCUUCAUUUGCUACAACAGACUCAUUGCAACAAGUUGCCCCUUUUAUUUUAUUGCUUUCCUUGAUUGCCUGGACUUGAACUUCGUCAGAAGGCAAAGCUUUAUGUAGAAAGUGAUGUGAGCUAUUAAUAAUUUAUUUUCCGUUCAAAGUAAUAGCUAUCAGUGUUGUUGAUCUGAGAAAGUUAUGAAAAAAUAAAUCUUCGAAAAAGCAA